RNAcentral lists this ribosomal RNA (433 nucleotides) under uncultured bacterium. RNAcentral's name for it is "partial 16S ribosomal RNA". It matches the Rfam family "Bacterial small subunit ribosomal RNA", at positions 29 to 507 of the family's 1533-position model. The record is from RNAcentral.
AACGAACGCUGGCGGCAUGCCUAACACAUGCAAGUCGAACGAGACCUUCGGGUCUAGUGGCGCACGGGUGCGUAACGCGUGGGAACCUGCCCUUAGGUUCGGAAUAACUCCCCGAAAGGGGUGCUAAUACCGGAUAAUGUCUUCGGACCAAAGAUUUAUCGCCUUUGGAUGGGCCCGCGUUGGAUUAGCUAGUUGGUAGGGUAAAAGCCUACCAAGGCGACGAUCCAUAGCUGGUCUGAGAGGAUGAUCAGCCACACUGGGACUGAGACACGGCCCAGACUCCUACGGGAGGCAGCAGUGGGGAAUAUUGGACAAUGGGCGAAAGCCUGAUCAAGCAAUGCCGCGUGAGUGAUGAAGGCCUUAGGGUUGUAAAGCUCUUUUAGCCGGGAUGAUAAUGACAGUACCGGGAGAAUAAGCUCCGGCUAACUCCGUG